This 471-nucleotide ribosomal RNA is filed under the name uncultured bacterium. Its description in RNAcentral is "bacterial SSU rRNA". It matches the Rfam family "Bacterial small subunit ribosomal RNA", at positions 8 to 524 of the family's 1533-position model. The record is from RNAcentral.
AGAGUUUGAUCCUGGCUCAGAACGUACGCUGGCGGCACGCCUAACACAUGCAAGUCGAACGAAGUAGCAAUACUUAGUGGCAGACGGGUGAGUAACAUGUAGGUAUCUGCCCUUUGGCCUGGAAUAACACGAGGAAACUUGUGCUGAUACCGGAUAAGUCUUUACGGAGAAAGCUUUAUGCACCAUUGGAUGAGCCUGCACUUGAUUAGUUUGUUGGUGGGGUAAUGGCCUACCAAGACUGUGAUCAAUAGCUGAUUUGAGAGGAUGAUCAGCCACAUUGGGACUGAGACACGGCCCAAACUCCUACGGGAGGCAGCAGUGGGGAAUCUUGCACAAUGGAGGAAACUCUGAUGCAGCGAUGCCGCGUGAGUGAAGAAGGCCCUUGGGUUGUAAAGCUCUUUCGUCGGGGAAGAAAAUGACUGUACCCGAAUAAGAAGGUCCGGCUAACUUCGUGCCAGCAGCCGCGGUAAU